GAGAGUUAUCUCCAUGAGGAGAACGGGAUGGGAGCAUUAAGCACAUCCCCUCCAGGUGAAUCGCCCCAAACCAGCUCCUUUUCUGCAAAACGCAUAUCAGCUUCGAAACCCAUCGUUAAUGGUAGAUUCAUCAAGCAUCCCUCUUGAGAAUUGUGUGUGGAAAUAGCAAUGUCGAGUACCAUCAAUGACAGCUGCUGCAAUUCGUUCAUCGUUAUUACUACUGGAGACAGAGACCUCUCUAUGCCUUAGAUCCUGGCACGAUGCCCUCAAUUCCAGAGCUGUGAAAGCCAUCUCAGGCCGGAAUCGUUGGGAGCCGCUAACCAUAACGAUGGGGGUAUCUGUAUAGAGGGGUUUAUUUGGGAAUACAAUAAACUCAUACAAAUGCUACUGUAUGUUGUACGAUUGUACAAUACGCAGGCCUAAUACGUCAUAUCCAAA
This is a long non-coding RNA of Magnolia sinica, 438 nucleotides long. RefSeq lists it as uncharacterized. NCBI's taxonomy places the organism in Eukaryota, Viridiplantae, Streptophyta, Magnoliopsida, Magnoliales, Magnoliaceae. The transcript has 2 exons. The record is from RefSeq and is a predicted model, not a curated record.